This 75-nucleotide transfer RNA is filed under the name Caudoviricetes sp. RNAcentral's name for it is "tRNA-Thr". The record is from RNAcentral. Lineage: Duplodnaviria; Heunggongvirae; Uroviricota; Caudoviricetes.
GGUACUGAAAUUUAAGCGAAUGCUUGUUCACUCGUAAUGAAGUGGUUGCGAGUUCGAUUCUCGCCAGCAGCUCCA